UACGAGAGGCCCAAACGUUAUUCGGAAUUACUGGGCUUAAAGAGUUCGUAGGCGGUCUAGAAAGUUGGGUGUGAAAGCCCUCGGCUCAACCGAGGAACUGCGCUCAAAACUACUAGACUUGAGGGAGAUAGAGGUGAGCGGAACUGAUGGUGGAGCGGUGAAAUGCGUAGAUAUCUGGAGGAACACCGGUGGCGAAGGCGGCAUCCUGGACCGGUAUUGACGCUGAGGCGCGAAAGCCAGGGGAGCAAACGGG
This 253-nucleotide ribosomal RNA is filed under the name uncultured bacterium. Its description in RNAcentral is "partial 16S ribosomal RNA". It matches the Rfam family "Bacterial small subunit ribosomal RNA", at positions 524 to 776 of the family's 1533-position model. The record is from RNAcentral.